This 65-nucleotide transfer RNA is filed under the name Dotilla wichmanni. RNAcentral's name for it is "tRNA-Gly". The record is from RNAcentral. Lineage: Eukaryota; Metazoa; Arthropoda; Malacostraca; Decapoda; Dotillidae.
AUUUUUUUAGUAUAGACAGUACAUCUGACUUCCAAUCAGAAAGCCUAAAAAUUUUAGAAAAAAUA